This is a long non-coding RNA of Myotis daubentonii (Daubenton's bat), 1263 nucleotides long. RefSeq lists it as uncharacterized. The record is from RefSeq and is a predicted model, not a curated record. NCBI's taxonomy places the organism in Eukaryota, Metazoa, Chordata, Mammalia, Chiroptera, Vespertilionidae.
CUGGCAGCCACCAGGAGCUGGGCGGGAGGCCUGGGACAGACUCUCCUACAGAAACCCCAGGAGGACCGACCCAACAGAUACCUUGACUUUGGACUUCUAGCCUCCAGAACCGCAAGACCCUCCCCCAGCAAAAAGAUUACAACUCACUUGAUUGCGGUGGUCUGGGACCAAAACCUCAAUAUUUCUGAGGUAUGUCAUGCUGAGGUCAUCUUGAGCACCUUGGGAUGCAUGUGGUGGGGUACAAUAGGUUGUUUUGGUUUGGUUUUGGCCUAGAAGAUUUGCAAAAAAAAAAAAAAAAGUGAUACUAUUCCAUGUUGGCAAGGUUGCAGUGAAGCUGGCCUUGUGUGCUAUUAGUGGGCAAAUUAAUUGGUAGAACCUUGCUGGAGGGUAGAGCCAGUACUUUUAGGUGUGUAAAAAAAUCUUAUACAUCAGUAUGUUAGCUGAAGCAUAAUUUGGAAAUUGGAAAAUGGAAACAAUCUAAAUACUCUUCAGUAGAUGAUUGAUUAAAUGAUUAAGUCCAUCCAUAGAGAUGUAAUACUUGGAUCAUUAACACUAAUAUUUUUUACAGAGUAUUUAAUGCCAUGUAGUAAAUGCUCAUAAUAUAUUUGAAAAAUUAAUAUGUAAGGAAAUGAUGUAAUAUUCUAAUAAUGAAUACAUGUAUGUAUAUUGCUAUUACUAUAUUUGAAAAAUGUUUACAAAUAUUUAAAUAUUAAGAAAAUGGGCUCCAAAAUAUAUAAACUCAAAAACAAAAAUAACAAAUAACCCAAAUAAAAAAUGGGCAGAGGAUUUAAAUAGAUGGCUUUCCAAAGAAGACAUACAGAUGGCCAACAAGCAUGAAAAGAUGAUUAGCAUCACUAAUUAUCAGGGAAUGCCAAUCAAAACCACAAUGAUAUAUCACCUCACACCUGUUAGAAUGGCUGUGACCAACAGAGAAGACAUGACAAGUGUUGGAGAGGCUGUGGAGAAAAGAGAACUCUGCUACACUGUUGGUAGAACUGUAAACUGGGGCAGCUACUAUGGGAAACAAUGUGAAGAGUCCUUAAAAAAUUGAAGCUAGAUCUACAAAAUGAUCCAGCUGUUCCACUUCUGGGUGUUUAUCCAAAGAAUACAAAAUACUAAUUCAGAAAGAUAUCUGUACCCUUAUGUUCAUUGCAGCAUUAUUUAAAACUGCCAAGAUAUGGAAACAACCUAAGUUUCCAUUGAUGGAUGAAUGGAUAAAAAAAGAUUGGGCACAUAUAUAGAAUGGAAUGCUACCUGUCCACA